AGAGUGGCUCUGAUACCACUGUUGGGUUUCGAUGACACAGCGGAAUAUAGAUUUAAAAAUUUUUUAACAUGCAUACAAUAAUGAAAACUAAGUUUAACAAUUAAACUCAUCCAUCGAAACUCAAAAACUCAAAGAACCCCUUGAUGAUUACAAUCAAAUCACAAAAUCAAGCAUAUGAGGAGAAGACCAAAAGUCAUAUACCACCAUGAAGAUCAUGAACUGAUGAUUUUGAAAUCUAUGUAAGACUCCAAAGCAGAAGCCUUCCAAUGGUGAUCCACACAGGAUUGAUCAGGAUCCUUUUCAACUCGUCAUGGUGCUGCAGUUUUCUUUCUAAGUGUGCUACCGAUUGUCCUUCACAAGAACACAAUGCACCAUUACUUGUAUGCCUUUAUGACCUCCACUAAGAUCACUCUAGAAACUCUUUCUCAAAGUAUCAAACCACACUCUAAUCAGAUUUUAUGUUCAACACAUGAACAAUCUGAUUUUAAGAUAAGUAUUUUAUAUUUUUCUUUUUUCUUCCUCUCUUUCUUUCUAUUUUUCUCUCCCUUUCUCUUUCUAUUUUCAUUUCAGAUUUUUACCACGUCAUCCUCAUCUAAUCCCACAUCCAAAAUUAUUUUUGGAUGGAUUUUAUGCCAUAUGAGGCACCCCUCAAAUAAGGGAUGAAGGGUGCCACACAAGACAUCAAGGGGUGCCAACUCUUGGCAUCCCAACUCCCUAACACGGUAAAAGAUAUUUUUUUCAGCAUGGAAACCCUAGUGUUAGGCAUAGAAUAAGAGGUGUUUCAUCUGCAGAAGGACUCCUCCUCUGUUAGAAAAAAUCUGAAUGCCAUAAAAUGGCGCGUGGAAUAAAAGGAGAAAUAAAUUGGCACAAACACAUCCCAUGUGUCGUCCUUUUGUUUUCAUAAAGAAUAAAUUUUUUAUAUAGAAACUCUAGGUGUGGAAGAGCCUUCAAGCAGAAGGACUCCCCUACUUCUGUGCCAACAAUUAUCCAGAACCAUCAUAUGGCAUGUGGAGGGAAGAAAAAAUGCAUGGAAUAAAAGAGGAAUAAAGAGUCCCAUGAGAAAUGGACUCUGCAUUUCUCAACGCCAUAAAUGGGGCAUCCCAACUCAAUUUUGGCAUGGAGUUCCUUCCAAAAGAAGACUCCCUCUCCUCUUCCACGUCCCACAUCUCAAGACACCAUCUGAUGGUGCACAAAAUUAAUGGGAUGUGUGGAACAUGUAAUGAUUUUAAGAGGAGUAAGAAAGGACUCUCCUUUUUAAUACCAAAAAUAAUUGUGAUGCCACCCAUUAUUAUGCAUGUGGUUUGAUGUGGAGGAGGUUGAUUCCAUGUGAAAUACUUUCUCAAAAUCAGAUAAAAUCAACUAAUAAAUUAGAUGGUUCAAACCUAAUCACAUUAGGUCAAGACAACAAGACUAGGUCAGUAUAAAUACCUUUGCACUGAACUCAAUUGGGAACUUGGGUCAAUUAAUAUGCCAGCAAUUUAAUUAACCCAUUAAAUUUAUAAUAAAUUUAAAUUAAUUGGAUCAAAAUUAAAUCUCUAUUGUAUAUGAUCCAUUGGAUUUUAAAUCUAGCCAACAGUGGAUCCAAACUCUCGAUGAAAUCCU
RNAcentral lists this long non-coding RNA (1602 nucleotides) under Elaeis guineensis (African oil palm). Its description in RNAcentral is "long non-coding RNA (EGUI_LNC038538)". The record is from RNAcentral. Lineage: Eukaryota; Viridiplantae; Streptophyta; Magnoliopsida; Arecales; Arecaceae.